This 2259-nucleotide ribosomal RNA is filed under the name Cryptoglena skujai. Its description in RNAcentral is "SSU rRNA". It matches the Rfam family "Eukaryotic small subunit ribosomal RNA". The record is from RNAcentral. Lineage: Eukaryota; Euglenozoa; Euglenophyceae; Euglenales; Euglenaceae.
CCUGGUUGAUCCUGCCAGUAGUCAUAUGCUUUGUUCAAGGGCUAAGCCAUGCAUGUCUCAGAGCAAACGGCCUUGCCAGUGGGUCUGUGAAUGGCUCCUUACAUCAGCAGUCAUCUCUGUGAUAAAGUGUUGAUGGAAUCCCUUCAAGGGUUUCCCAGUUGGACAUCUGCCAAAACCUGGUGGCUAAUACACGUUGGACACAGUCUACCACACAGUGGCCUUGCAAACCAUGCGUGAAGCUUUGCCCAUGGUGGAUUGCAACCAGCUGCUCUGAAGACUGGCACCUGGCAAAGGUAGCUGUGUGGCUGACUCAGGCUGGUCCUGUCUGGACACCUGUGCUGGCAAUUCCUGUGGCAUCCCCACAGAAUGCUUGAUCACAAGAACUUCUGCCCUAUCAGCCUUGACUGUGGUGUAGUGGACCACAGUGGCAGUAACGGGUAACGGAGAAUCUGGGUUCGAUUCCGGAGAGGCAGCCUGAGAAACGGCUACCACUACCAAGGUGGGCAGCAGGCGCGCAAAUUGCCCAAUCCAGAAGCAAAUCUGUGAGGCAGCGACGAACUGCAGCAAUUCCACUGGCACCAACCUGUCAGUGGGACUUGCAAUGGAUGCUAUCCAAACACAGUCAUGAGUACCUAUUGGAGGGCAAGUCUGGUGCCAGCAGCUGCGGUAAUUCCAGCUCCAAGGGCGUAUACUAACAUUGCUGCUGUUAAAACACUUGUAGUCUGCCUCAGGGCACAGGUCUGCCAGGUGGCCAGUGUGCGGCUCCCCAUGAGUAGCUCUGCCAAAGUGGGAUCAGAGUUUGUGCAUUGGAUCUCAACCCCUGGCAGUAUGUCCUGUGUCCAACCCAUGAUGUGUGUGAACAGCUCCUGCAAGAAGUCUCCUUCAGUGGAGAUCCAAGCGGUACCACACCCAAUGCUUGUCAGGGCCAGUGGGAGUGCAGCCCAUGUUGCACAAUGCUCCCAGGUCCACCAACGGAGUCCACCAUCGUUGUCACUGUGGAAAACUCAGUGUGCCCAAAGCAUCCAGUUCUUGGCCGGAUGCCCAUCCAUGGAACGUCACAGCAUUGACCAGAUGUGGCAAUUGGAGUUGUGCCAGCCUUGGGGCUCAUCAAGGGAAAUCCGGUGGCUGUUCCCUGUGCAGUGGCAUCAAGGGGUAUGUGUCCCAGCCCCUGGCAACAGACUGGGUCCAUGCCCUGCCCUGCCUGUGGUUUCAGCCAUCUUUCAGAGACGAUGGAACUGCUCAGGGUCAAAGAUAUUGCAGCGCCAGAGGUGAAAUUCUUAGACCGSUGCAAGGAUCAACAGCAGCGAAGGCGCUUGGCAAGUGCAUGUUCAUCGAUCAAGAAUGAAAGCGUGGGGAGCAAAGAUGAUCAGACACCGUCGUAGUCCACAGCUGUAAACCAUGCCAGCUAGGCCUUGAGUGGGCAAUCACUGCACCCACCCAGUGCCAUGCCCCCUUCAACGAGAAAUCCAAGCCUUUGGGUUCAGGGGGAAGUACUGUCGCAAGGCUGAAACUUAAAGGAAUUGACGGAAUGGCACCACAAGGCGYGGAGUAUGCGGYUUAAUUUGACUCAACACGGGGAAAGUUACCAGGUCAGGACGUUGCUGGGAUUGACAGAUUGAGAGCUCUUUCUUGAUCCUUCGGAUGGUGGUGCAUGGCCGCUCCUGAUUGGUGAAGUGAUUUGUCUGGUUGAUUCCGAUAACGAGUGAGAUAUCUGCCUCCCAAUAGCCCCAGUCUCGCAUUUGUAGGGGGCUCACUGGCAUUCAUGAUGCCUUGGAGGGUCAAACCCUCAGAGGUGUCAGCCAGUGGGUUCCUGAGAGCUCUGGGCCAAGCUUCUCUGAGGUGCUGUGCACACUUCCAAGUGCAUGCAUGCUAGAGCCAACAGCAGGUCUGUGAUGCUCCCAGAUGUCCUGGGCCGCACGCGCACUACAUUGACACAGUGAAAGUGUUAUCACUUGCUUGCCAAGGCCUGGCCAGAGGUGGCUGGGAAACCAUUCAAGCCUGUGCUGUACUUGGGAUAGACCCUUGCAACUGUCUGCCUUGAACGAGGAAUGCCUAGUAUGCCCAGGUCAUCAGCCUGGACAGAUUGUGUCCCUGCCAUUUGUACACACCGCCCGUCGUUGCUACCGAUGGCAGCAGAAUAGAGUCAUCAGGAGGCUCAGAGGAUUUCCAUCCUCCAACCAAAAUUGGACAAUGUCCUGCUGCUAGAGGAAGCAAAAGUCGUMACAAGGUUGUUGUAGGUGAACCUGCAGAACAGAUCAA